Molecule: long non-coding RNA, 728 nt
Organism: Microplitis demolitor
Lineage: Eukaryota; Metazoa; Arthropoda; Insecta; Hymenoptera; Braconidae
Exons: 4
Source: RefSeq, a predicted model, not a curated record
GCAAAUCGAUUACACAAAAGCUCAUAGAACUUCGAGAACAACGAUUGCUCAAGAUACAAAAUCGAAAAAAUGUCGAAAAUAAUUUUAUUAUUAUCAAUUUUCGUAUUGAUUAGUCUCUACGCUGGUACAGAUGCAGGAUGUCCAGGCAAAUGGUGUCAUCCAUCCCAAGGUUAUGGCUGUUGUGAUGGAUAUACGUGCAGUUCGCAUUUUUGGCAAGGUGAUUGCAUAACUGACAGCGAGUCCUUCCGUCGAACAGUUCCAGGAAAAUAAUUAUAACAAUACAGUAAAAAUUUAAAGAUAUAUUUUUCCAAUCAAUAAAACUCUUAAUACACAAAAAAUUUUUUAAUUGAUUUUCAUUAAUUGACAAUUUUAUAUCUUCUUUAUCAACUCUAGGAGCUAUUAUUUUACACGGUGAAAAAAAUACAGUAAAAUUUACUGAAGAAAAUGAGAAUAAUUAUUAAAUUUAUAGAUAGUAACUUGAAACGCUUUUGAUUUAAAUGAAAAAUUCAUAAACAAAAGUGAAUUUUACUGUCCCGUUUAUUAAAUUUCACUAUCCCGUUUAGUAAAUUUUAUGCCAAGGCUCGACCUACAGUCAUCCUAGGCGAUUCCUACCUGGGGAGUAUCUAAAGGAGAAUUGUCCGAGCUUUCAGGAAGAGAUGAUUAAUGAAAAUAACUAUUUUCAGUAAAAAAAAAACGUUUUUUAAAAAACAUUUUUUAUUGCUAAACAG